Long non-coding RNA from Lepisosteus oculatus (spotted gar), 1225 nucleotides. RefSeq lists it as uncharacterized. Lineage: Eukaryota; Metazoa; Chordata; Actinopteri; Semionotiformes; Lepisosteidae. The record is from RefSeq and is a predicted model, not a curated record.
AGCCCAAGCUGCAGAAAAACGAGGAAUGAAAAACUUGUUUCCUGUGUGGGAUGCAUUUUCUCUCGCAGAGCUGUGCCUUGUGCAUCUGAGGCGGGGAGAUGCUGGUAACACUGCUCUGAGGACACAGGAGCUAGGCACCUGGAAAGUAACUUGAAGGCACAGACAGGGUGCACGAGCGGACACACAGAGCCCUCUGGCUGGUCUGUCUAAACCUCAGCCUUACUUCUCUCCAACCUCGGCUAACGACCUGCGCCCCCUCGUGCUUUGGAGUGAAUAUCAGGUGUGACUAGGAUGGUAAAAAAGCUAUUAAUGGAAAUGCCAGCCACUUGAGCAGCCUGCAAGCUGGUUUUGAGACAUCACUGCAGCUGGGGAUAAUCGACAACAGAUUUGGGGAUCUAUCACUCUGACCACUGGCCACAAGACAUUUGCACGGCUCCCUGGCUCAUUCCUCAUAGAGAGGGAUUGGGGGAUUUCCACAGCAUCGUCUACAACCAAGAACCCACCUCCAAAAUGUCCACCAACUGACCUACUUAAGAUUACUGAACUCCAAAUCCUGCUGCUCACCUUUAAGGGCUUGAACUGGAGCUGAACCGACUCCUGAGCACACCAGUGAAGUGUCACCCUUCCAAUACACCUACAGAGUUCGAAGAGAGCCAACGACAUGGCCUUUUUUCUCAACAGGAGUCUCUAAACUCUCGACUUGGUCAUUUUCUGUUUUGUGGUUCCAAGACUGCGGAAUGAUAUUCCAUGUCAUACCAAAUUGUCUUUGAAUUCAAUUUUAAACUAACUGCUUUAAAGUACUGUGCUAAUUUCUGUACACCUCUUUUUACUGUAUACUGAGAUCACAUACAACCAAAGGAUCUACGUGAAUAUUUUUAAAAGAAGAAAAAAAUAACUGAGGAUGCUGCAAUGAGUGCUGCUAUUGCAAUAAAUUCACACUUUUUUCACCCCGAGGUACACGUUUUCUGCUGUGCCUCUCAUCUCUCCCAACUCUCACAAGUUCCGGCCUCACAGCAGAAGCUUCACAUUUCAGGUAAAUUUCCAGUGACAUUUCUGUUUUUCUCUUCCCUACAUUCUCAGUUCACUAAGGCUCAAAGUUGUGCAGGCUGAGACAGGUUUGUUUUGUCCAAGAUGGAAUGCUGCAGCUGGAAAACGGAGACCUGCCUAAUUGAUAUGUCUGCCUACCUGCUAAGACCGCCCUGAAAGGAAAAAAAAAAGCUCAGGA